This 494-nucleotide ribosomal RNA is filed under the name uncultured bacterium. Its description in RNAcentral is "partial 16S ribosomal RNA". It matches the Rfam family "Bacterial small subunit ribosomal RNA", at positions 28 to 507 of the family's 1533-position model. The record is from RNAcentral.
GACGAACGCUGGCGGCGCGCUUAACACAUGCAAGUCGAACGGAAAGGCCUGCUUUCCCUUGUGGAUUGCGGGUACUCGAGUGGCGAACGGGUGAGUAACACGUGAGUGAUCUGCCCCCAACUUGGGUAUAAGCCUGGGAAACUGGGUCUAAUUCCCGAUAGGACUGCAGGGUGGUGCCUUUGGUGGAAAACGAUUUUCUAGUGGUUGGGGAUGAGCUCGCGGCCUAUCAGCUUGUUGGUGGGGUAAUGGCCUACCAAGGCGGCGACGGGUAGCCGGCCUGAGAGGGUGGACGGACACAUUGGGACUGAGAUACGGCCCAGACUGCUACGGGAGGCAGCAGUGGGGAAUAUUGCACAAUGGGCGGAAGCCUGAUGCAGCGACGCCGCGUGGGGGAUGACGGCCUUCGGGUUGUAAACUCCUUUCGACCGCGAGGAAGCCACCUGGUUGGAAGGGUGGUGACGGUAGUGGUAGAAGAAGCACCGGCUAACUACGUG